Jatropha curcas is the source of this 384-nucleotide non-coding RNA. The record is from RefSeq and is a predicted model, not a curated record. Lineage: Eukaryota; Viridiplantae; Streptophyta; Magnoliopsida; Malpighiales; Euphorbiaceae.
UCCAAAUGUACUUCCCCCAUGGUUGAUUUUUCAUUAUAGGAUUCAAUUUUUUUUUUCAUUAAGCAACUACAUCCAGUUUACUUUUUGUUUCUUUGUAGGAUGCUGGAAUAGGAACAAGUAUUGACUCUUUUUAUGAGUAUCUCUUAAAGGUAUGUAGAGGUAAAUAUGGAUUCUUGCUGCUAUCGUCUGGCCAUUAUUUAAUAGUCUGCAGGCAUUUGGCCAGGCCUUCAGGUUUUAGCAGGAGACAUUGAUCCUGCCAUUCGAACACAUGCUGCCUUCUUUAGCGUCUGGAAAAGAUACGGUUUCACUCCAGAAGGUUUUAAUCUUGCUACUCUAAGUGUUCAGAAUGGGCAGAAGAGGUAUCCACUCCGUCCAGAGUUAAUA